This 213-nucleotide small RNA is filed under the name Arabidopsis thaliana (thale cress). RNAcentral describes it as "ATSL289990". Lineage: Eukaryota; Viridiplantae; Streptophyta; Magnoliopsida; Brassicales; Brassicaceae. The record is from RNAcentral.
AUUCAUUGUAAUGAUCUCAAACCCUAAAUAUUUCUCCAAAUUUGCCGUGUCAAAUUAUUUGUAAAAAUAGGUUGAAGAUUGACAUUGUUGUUUUUAGAGAUUUAGUGUGGUAACAAAAUUAUGGACAUCAAGCUGCAUCUUUCGAAUUAUGGUUGAUCGUUCGGUAGAUAAACAAAAAGUAUAGAUAAAAUAUUUAAUAUUUAUUCAUUACAU